AUGGCUAUAGUGCAGAGCAAUACCAUCACUGGGCACUAUGAAUUCAAGACUGAAGAAUUAACAGCCACCCCUAAGACGGAGAACCAGGUGGAGAGUCGACUCUUUCUGGAUGUUGUAAUCAGAAAGAGUGCGGCCAUCUUCCAGCUGCUUGCCGGCAAAGAUAAGCCUCUGCUGGUCAGGGGGGAUGCCCUCUUUAUCUUGGAUCUUGGCCUUCACGUUUUCGAUGGUGUCACUGGGCUCCACCUCCAGGGUGAUGGUCUUGCCGGUCAGGGUCUUCACGAAGAUCUGCAUUUUGACCUAGAUUUUAAAAAGACAAUGUUUGUAUACCAUCUCAAGAUCUUUGUAUUACCAGGGCGCCUAGGUGGCUCAGUGGGUUUAGCGUCUGACUCUGUGUCUGCUCAGGUCAUGAUAUGGACGCCCCGAGUCAGGCUCUGCGCUGAGCAUGGAGCCGGCUUGGGAUUCUCGCUCUCUCCCCUACUUCUAAAAUAAAUGAAUCCUUAAAAAACACCUACAGAUAUAACCAAUUCUCCAAAGCUAACUAUUUCAUCUUCCAAGUGCUUUAACCACAUUAACGUCGCUCACAACCCCCUCCUUUACUAGUCUUCUUAAAUUAGCUGCCGAAAACAAUUUUUAGUCAAGGCUUCAACUUAAAAACGGGAAGGCCCCUAAAAAAGGAAAGAACCCCAAAGGUUAAUAUCCAGAAUCUUAACUACUCUAGACCCUUCGCUAAAUCGUCUUCCCCCACACCCCCGACAUAUUCCCAAAACCUGAGUUAAUACGUAAGAUUGGGGGGGGGAACCCACGAAACUGGGUGAUGGAAACUGCUGUUUGAACAAAAAUGAGGUGGGACCCUUUCACCGCAUUGGGAUUCAAAAUCCAGACAGUUUUGGGAAUCACACUAGACUACCUCCUUUCCGCCUUCCCCCGCUGAAGCAGAUGCGAUGGAAUCUCCAUUGGUUGAGCGUCGGUUGGUCUCUGCCGGCGCGCGCGCCAACCGCCCCCGCUCCCUACACGUAAACAAGGCCCACUCUUCCGGAAAGGCCCGGCGCCGCAGCGCAGCGUCACCUCGCCCUCCCCUCCCCCAACCCCCUUCCCUGAGGGGCCCCUCCCGACCCCCGAAUCCGCCAGCCUGGGCUCACUCAGGGCCCCUCUCCACUCCUCCUCGGUCUCGAAGGCUGCCAGCCAGUACCUGUUAGCGAACGCAAAGACACUGGACGCAAUCACGUCGAGUCACCCAGGCCGCAACAGACCGACAACCUACAACGCCAGCCGCUCCUGAACGCCCGCGGCUCCGCGGGGCUGAAAUUUAUGCGGCGUCUGUUGCGUCACUCAUCACUGCCCACGUAGCCGCCGUGUCCGUACGCUGCUGAAAGUAGUUCCGUCGGCCCCACCUCCCGCGGCUCAAUUAGACCCUGCCACUGAGCCCCAAGUUCCUCAGAGCCGAAGAAAGAACCCUAAAAAAUCAGCUCCCCUCUUUUCCAGGCGACUCGUCUCCUCCCUUAAGAAAAAGUAGGAAUAAUAUCUGGCGGAUGGAUUUGAGUUAAGGGGUCCUCCCUCGAAAGCUCUCGAAACUUCCUUGCGGCGCCGGCGCUGAUUGGUGAAGCGUAUGAAGGCGAGGCCGGCGCUGAUUGGCGGGAGACGCGGCGCCUCGGUUGUUGCUGGGCUCCCAGCUGAGGUGGUUUAGCGCCGACGUUGCUAAGUAACUCAGUGCGCGUGCGCCACAGAGGCGCGCCUUUGCGAAAAGGGUGCUUCCGGCCGGAGAGGGAGGAGGGGUCCUUUGCUCCCGCCUCCGAAGUCCCAACCCCCACUUAAUUCUUAGGUUUUUCCGGCUUUACGUGAGGAUAAACGGUCCUCCGCGGCGACUUUCCCGGGAAGGCCGUCCCGGUUCUGGUUCGGAGGCGCUCAGCGGCGCGGCCCGCUGCUGGUUUUUUUGUUAAUGUCUGCUGUGGAAGCACAACCUGCCCCCACCCCCAUCUUAACGCGAACCGUACUGGCUGGUUUUAUUUUUGCACUAGCUUAUAGCAGGGUGAAGGAGCUUUAAUGACACUUUUUUUUAAAGAGUCAGAAUGCUUUUGUCCUCGAUUCCCACAAGGGCUCCGAGGAGAGUCUGUAAGCUAGACGCUGGUGGCGGGACCGUGGCGGGGGGGGAGGGGGCGGCGGUGCUCGGCCUCCCCCGGCGGAGGCCCAGAGAGGCGAGGCUCGGGCUCCCGGUGACAACGGUGGCGGGCUGAGGUCUGGCUCCGGCGAAACCUGCAGUCUCUUCCCCACCUUGUGGUUUCACCGAACUCUGGUUGGGGAAAAAGAGAGCUGCGGAUGGGGCAGCCGAAAACCCGCUUCGGGGGACGUGGAAUUCGUGUACAAGAAAAUAGUGUUUCUCCCGUAAACGUGUUUGUCGUUCAAGCGACAGUAAAGGAGGAGUUUCCCAGCUACGACCCCUCUGGCUGGUUUCCCUACGCCCUGGGUGUGGCCCCAUGUCCCGCAAGGAGAUAACCCGAGGAACGUGAGUAAGGCAGGGGCAUUGGGAUCUCGGUGACACGUGGCCAGAGUCUGAGUCAUUGAGCCGGGGGUGUAAAUAAACAUGCAGGGCUGUUUGUGGCGUAAUACCAACCUUCCUAAGUAAGGAGUAGUCUGAAGAUUUGCACGUUAAUGCCAAUCGGCUACAUACCACUUAGAAAAGGUCGUUAGUCAUUAAAAUAUAGCAUUUCUAAGCAUUAUAUGCCAAAACGAUGUCAAUGACUUUACGGUAUAGAUAGGUAUAUGAUGCGUUAACAAAGCUUAAGUUAGAUGAGCUAAAACUUGGUAAGAUCGAUUUACUUGAAUAACAGAUAAAAAUUAAAAAGUUUCUUUAAGAUCAUUUUGGACUUGGAGGUCGCUGACGAAAGGUUUCUUUUUCACAAAGUAUGAAUUUAAAUUUUUGUUAGACUAACAAUGAGUCUGAGCUUGUGUCACCAGUUAACAGCUUCUCCUGAGUCACAGAGGUUGCGUGGCAGAAUAAUCUAGAAUGGAGAUCUCCUGACGUAUAGGAUGACUUCAUUCCGGGCUUCUAGCGAUUGCCAGAACCAAUUUAGUCAUACAGCAUCCUGGUUUAAUGGUUUCCCAAAGUGGGACGUUUGGUAACCUGAACAAAGCAAAAUGUUUUCACAAGGAAGACAAGCGCUGUCCUUGUAAAACAAGGUGAAUUUUUUAUGGUCUGUUUAUCAAGUAAACAUCUAGUAAUAAGGUCAUUUCUGGUAGCAAAUUGUAAAAGAUAAUUUGUAAACAAAUUAGAGAAUAGGAUGACAAAAUCCUUCUCCAAAGACCGGGAAUUUGAUAAUUUAGCAUAAUACUUGGC
Zalophus californianus (California sea lion) is the source of this 3331-nucleotide long non-coding RNA. NCBI's taxonomy places the organism in Eukaryota, Metazoa, Chordata, Mammalia, Carnivora, Otariidae. The record is from Ensembl.